Molecule: transfer RNA, 76 nt
Filed under: Verrucomicrobiota bacterium
Lineage: Bacteria; Pseudomonadati; Verrucomicrobiota
Also listed under: 1 other name
Description: Verrucomicrobia bacterium tRNA-Thr
Rfam family: tRNA
About the family: Transfer RNA (tRNA) molecules are approximately 80 nucleotides in length. Their secondary structure includes four short double-helical elements and three loops (D, anti-codon, and T loops).
Source: RNAcentral
GCCCUUGUAGCUCAGUUGGCAGAGCGCAUCCUUGGUAAGGAUGAGGUCGGCGGUUCAAAUCCGCUCGGGGGCUCCA